CUGCUGGAAUUGGUGUGAGAAAUCCACUGAUUGUCUUAGGUUGUGUUAACUUCUUAGGAAUGGCGUUCACAUUUUUGGUGCCAGAAUCCAAAGGAAAAUCAUUGGAAGAAAUGUCAAGGGAAAAUGAAGGGGAAGAGGAAAGUGAAACAGAAAUGAAGAAUAGUGGAAGGACAGUUCCUGUUUAAUUUUGGACCUUAGAAAAGUGGGUCGGGCGGGUUUAAAAAAUAGAAUGGAUGGGCUAAUCUGGUCCAAUCUAAGACUGCCACGUGUUAAAAAAUACUGUGGAAACAAGUUUUAACGGGGAAGAGGAAAGUGAAACAGAAAUGAAGAAUAGUGGAAGGACAGUUCCUGUUUAAUUUUGGACCUUUUAACAUAUACUAUUUAUAUAUAUAUGAUGCAUGUUUGUGAAUUUGUGUGUUUUGGCGCUUAAGAUGAAAUAUGCUCUCUACUUUUUGCUUGUUUAUAUGGGAAAGUGGGAAGAGCUAGAAAUGAGGUCCUUUUGUUGUCUAUUUCUAUCUUUUCAAAAAAAAAUAAAAUUAACAUUAUAAGAAUCAAGAAAAUGCUUUCAAUUAGAGAUGUUCUUGUUUGCUUUAAUUUAUUCUUGUUUCAAUUUUUUAUACAUGUAUUGUGAAGAUAGAUAAUUGUUGGGUGAGGCUUGACAGGGCUAUCUAUAGAUGAUUUGUGUUUUGGAUUGUGUCUCCUUUAUGGUAGUUAUUUAUGGUAGUUACUGUAUN
Molecule: long non-coding RNA, 734 nt
Filed under: Nicotiana benthamiana
Lineage: Eukaryota; Viridiplantae; Streptophyta; Magnoliopsida; Solanales; Solanaceae
Description: long non-coding RNA (NBEN_LNC010873)
Source: RNAcentral